This 262-nucleotide ribosomal RNA is filed under the name Duganella vulcania. Its description in RNAcentral is "partial 16S ribosomal RNA". It matches the Rfam family "Bacterial small subunit ribosomal RNA", at positions 891 to 1157 of the family's 1533-position model. Lineage: Bacteria; Pseudomonadati; Pseudomonadota; Betaproteobacteria; Burkholderiales; Oxalobacteraceae. The record is from RNAcentral.
AGAUUAAAACUCAAAGGAAUUGACGGGGACCCGCACAAGCGGUGGAUGAUGUGGAUUAAUUCGAUGCAACGCGAAAAACCUUACCUACCCUUGACAUGGAUGGAAUCCUUGAGAGAUUGAGGAGUGCUCGAAAGAGAACCAUUACACAGGUGCUGCAUGGCUGUCGUCAGCUCGUGUCGUGAGAUGUUGGGUUAAGUCCCGCAACGAGCGCAACCCUUGUCAUUAGUUGCUACGAAAGGGCACUCUAAUGAGACUGCCGGUG